RNAcentral lists this ribosomal RNA (574 nucleotides) under Trichoderma longibrachiatum. Its description in RNAcentral is "partial 18S ribosomal RNA". The stretch from base 202 to 355 matches the Rfam family "5.8S ribosomal RNA". The record is from RNAcentral. Lineage: Eukaryota; Fungi; Ascomycota; Sordariomycetes; Hypocreales; Hypocreaceae.
CAAUGUGAACGUUACCAAUCUGUUGCCUCGGCGGGAUUCUCUUGCCCCGGGCGCGUCGCAGCCCCGGAUCCCAUGGCGCCCGCCGGAGGACCAACUCCAAACUCUUUUUUUCUCUCCGUCGCGGCUCCCGUCGCGGCUCUGUUUUAUUUUUGCUCUGAGCCUUUCUCGGCGACCCUAGCGGGCGUCUCGAAAAUGAAUCAAAACUUUCAACAACGGAUCUCUUGGUUCUGGCAUCGAUGAAGAACGCAGCGAAAUGCGAUAAGUAAUGUGAAUUGCAGAAUUCAGUGAAUCAUCGAAUCUUUGAACGCACAUUGCGCCCGCCAGUAUUCUGGCGGGCAUGCCUGUCCGAGCGUCAUUUCAACCCUCGAACCCCUCCGGGGGGUCGGCGUUGGGGAUCGGCCCCUCACCGGGCCGCCCCCGAAAUACAGUGGCGGUCUCGCCGCAGCCUCUCCUGCGCAGUAGUUUGCACACUCGCACCGGGAGCGCGGCGCGGCCACAGCCGUAAAACACCCCAAACUUCUGAAAUGUUGACCUCGGAUCAGGUAGGAAUACCCGCUGAACUUAAGCAUAUCAU